AAGAAGAUCCCAUGCUGUGACCCUCUAGAGGAAGCACUUUCUGUUUGUUGUCUGAGAAAAAACAAAGUGCUUCCCUUUAGAGUGUUACCAUUUGGGAAAAGCAGUGUUGAAGUUG
This 115-nucleotide microRNA precursor is filed under the name Gorilla gorilla (western gorilla). RNAcentral's name for it is "microRNA ggo-mir-520g precursor". Its record names the gene ggo-mir-520g. The stretch from base 8 to 97 matches the Rfam family "mir-515 microRNA precursor family". RNAcentral also lists the same sequence under 1 other name. The record is from miRBase by way of RNAcentral. Lineage: Eukaryota; Metazoa; Chordata; Mammalia; Primates; Hominidae.